UGCAAGUCGAACGGUGAAGCCCAGCUUGCUGGGUGGAUCAGUGGCGAACGGGUGAGUAACACGUGAGCAACCUGCCCCGGACUCUGGGAUAAGCGCUGGAAACGGCGUCUAAUACUGGAUACGAACCACAGUCGCAUGGCUAGUGGUUGGAAAGAUUUUUCGGUCUGGGAUGGGCUCGCGGCCUAUCAGCUUGUUGGUGAGGUAAUGGCUCACCAAGGCGUCGACGGGUAGCCGGCCUGAGAGGGUGACCGGCCACACUGGGACUGAGACACGGCCCAGACUCCUACGGGAGGCAGCAGUGGGGAAUAUUGCACAAUGGGCGCAAGCCUGAUGCAGCAACGCCGCGUGAGGGACGACGGCCUUCGGGUUGUAAACCUCUUUUAGCAAGGAAGAAGCGAAAGUGACGGUACUUGCAGAAAAAGCGCCGGCUAACUACGUGCCAGCAGCCGCGGUAAUACGUAGGGCGCAAGCGUUAUCCGGAAUUAUUGGGCGUAAAGAGCUCGUAGGCGGUUUGUCGCGUCUGCUGUGAAAACCCGAGGCUCAACCUCGGGCCUGCAGUGGGUACGGGCAGACUAGAGUGCGGUAGGGGAGAUUGGAAUUCCUGGUGUAGCGGUGGAAUGCGCAGAUAUCAGGAGGAACACCGAUGGCGAAGGCAGAUCUCUGGGCCGUAACUGACGCUGAGGAGCGAAAGGGUGGGGAGCA
This 702-nucleotide ribosomal RNA is filed under the name Microbacterium flavescens. Its description in RNAcentral is "bacterial SSU rRNA". It matches the Rfam family "Bacterial small subunit ribosomal RNA", at positions 56 to 770 of the family's 1533-position model. The record is from RNAcentral. Lineage: Bacteria; Bacillati; Actinomycetota; Actinomycetes; Micrococcales; Microbacteriaceae.